UAGCCGCAGAAUACUGUGCUAAGGUAGCAUAAUCACUUGUCUUCUAAUUAAAGACUAGAAUGAAAGACUUUACGAGCAGAUUUCAUAACUUAAUUAAUUUUACUAAACUACACUAAGCAUAAAAAUGUUCUUAUUCACCAAAAAGACGACAAGACCCUACUGAACUUAACCUUUGUUUAACUGGGGCAGUUAGUUAACAAACUCUUAAUAUAUUACGCCCCCUACACAGCCUCCACAAGAAUAAACAAGUUACCAUAGGGAUAACAGCGCAAUUUCUCUCCCUAGCUCGUAUACAAAGAAAAGAUUACGACCUCGAUGUUGAAUUAGUGAUUCUAAGAGAAGCAACCUUCUCAGAGAAAGUCUGUUCGACUUUUAUACCACUACAUGAUCUG
RNAcentral lists this ribosomal RNA (392 nucleotides) under Leptonetidae sp. W205. Its description in RNAcentral is "partial large subunit ribosomal RNA". It matches the Rfam family "Bacterial large subunit ribosomal RNA", at positions 1928 to 2607 of the family's 2925-position model. The record is from RNAcentral. Lineage: Eukaryota; Metazoa; Arthropoda; Arachnida; Araneae; Leptonetidae.